This 4340-nucleotide long non-coding RNA is filed under the name Mytilus galloprovincialis (Mediterranean mussel). Lineage: Eukaryota; Metazoa; Mollusca; Bivalvia; Mytilida; Mytilidae. The record is from RNAcentral.
UUUUUAAAAAAGUAUCUGUACCUGAAAUAUUAAUUUAUUAAACAGAAUAAACUUUAAUUGUAACAGUAAUUAAUAGAUUAAUUUUAGUUAUAUAUUUUUGUAAAGUAGUCUUAGUCUUUUCUGACAUUGUAGCCUAUCUCUUAAAAGUUGAAAAAUGGUUGAAAAAUGGUUCUGUUGUUUUAAAAAGCAGUUUAGCCUAGUAUACUAAAACAUACAACCAAAUUCCUAAAUGCUUUUUACCCUGAACCAGAUUAAUUUAUCAUUAUCUGGAACAUGGGAGAUAACUCACAUUGCAAAAACUUGCUGCUUAAGGUAAGCAGUAGUUUGUUGAAUUAUUUCUCUUUAUUUGGAGAGGGGAGGCAAGGGUUCAUCUGGAAUUAAUUUAUUCUUCAAGAUAAGAUUCUUGUUUGUAUUUGUGAUUUAAGAAAAGUAGGUUGAUUAAAUGAUUAUUGUAAGGGUAAUUUCCAGUUGCAAAUAUUUGAUGCCCUAUCAGAAAAAAGGAAUAUGAAAGAUAUACAUGAUAUUAAGAUCUCAAUAUAUAGCUUUUGCUGUCUUUUUUUUCAAGAUUUAACAAAACUACAACAGAUAAUUUCAUGUUAGUAAAAUUGUUGACAUGGCCCUUAAUACAAUAUUGGAAGAAGUUUGAUACAAAAUUUCCUUGACUUUAAAAAGUUUCUUAAAUUAAUGAGGAAUUUAUGGUUCUAAUGCAAGUUUGUACUAGUAAAUUUCGACCUAAAUUUUUGCCUUUACUUCAUCCUUUUGUCUUUCAGAGUACAAUGUGAGGUAACACUUGCAUGUUUUGUUAUUUUUCACGCAGUAAUUAAGUAGGCUGUCACUUACAGACUUGUCAAAUAUAAAGCUGUAAUUUAUCAGAAUCCACUUCUGUUAUCUAAAAAUGUUGUUGAUGUAGAAACAAUUAAUUAGCAUGUAUAAGGAAAAUCUUGUUAAAUGUAAUUUUCAUGAUUAUGUAAUUUGAUACUGUCACAAAUCCUCAAGACUAUUACGGUGUUGUAAUUAUUUUUGAAAUGACCUUGACGUCACUACAAAUGUUUAGGCAUAAUGGGUAUUAUAUUAGAAAUUCCCCUUUUUGUCUAAAAUGUUCCAAAUUUGCCAUGAAUUAUAAGGGAAUUUUAAUUCCGUAAAUGAAUUAUCUAAUUACAAAUCUAUUUGAUCUUAAUUUAUUAUUGUCCACCCUUUUCAACAACAAAAAUACCAGAGCAAUAUUUUGCCGCAAUCAUUCAACAUAAAAUAGAGCUUAAUUGUUUCUUGUUAGUUCAGCUUCAGGGUAUUCAUCUGUUUCCGGCUGUCUAUAUAAUCUUUGAUGGUGUUAGGACAUAUCAAUCGUGGCAGAUUAACAAUAUUGAUAAAAAAAAUCAUAUCUUAUGUGUGUCAGCUGUGGUAUGUAUACCAUUUACAAAGAAAAAUUGGAUUUAAACUAAUUAAAUUUGAUAUGGAUUGACUAUUUUGAAGAUUUGUCAAAUUGUCAGCCGAUGAUUUUUUAUAUACAAAGAAAUCAUCUAGAUGUGUUGUGUUUCUUUGUCGUACAUCAAAAAGAUCUUUGUCCUAUUGAACAGAUAAACCUUUUUAAUGGGAGAAAUAUAGAUAAUCUUUAGGAGAGAUCAUUAUCCCAUGUGGUGCAAUACAUUCUAAAUGAAUAAAUCCUGCCUUUCAAAUCCUUUCUCCCAAGUAGAAAAUUGCAUGCAAAAAAAUAGUUUCCUGAAUAAGAUAAAGAAAAGUAAAUGAAAAUUGAAUCUUGUAUAAGAGACUAUUACAUGUAAUUUAGAAGAUUGAUUUUUAAGAUUAUUUGCUUUAACUAAUCUUUUAACACAUUUCAAUGCUGGGAAAGACAUUUUUAGGUCAUCUGUCAGUUAGCACCAUAUCAGUUUGGUUAAUGCCUUCAGACAUGAAUUGUCAUUGGGUAUGCAGAUACGAAGACAAAAAAAUAUAGUUAAAGUCAUCUUUCUUAGGUUUAGAUACUAGGUAUUUGUCAAAACUGUCAAACUUUUACUCGGGUAUGUUCAAUGAUCAAUUAAAUAUCUAUGUAAUAAUAUUAAGUACCGGAAAAUGGCCAUAUUUCCUAUCUAAUUAAAACUUAAAAUGGGAUUAUUUAUAAGAGGACCUUUGGUAAUGGGCUUGGCAGUUAAUGGACAUCUACCUGUAUAGAUCAUGUCAAGUCUACUACCACUAGGAUACCCAAAAAUGUCACAAAGCAGUCAAUCAAGUAACAUGUCAUUUCUGUAAACAAACUUAUUAUUUUUGCGAGCAAUUCAAUUUGGUGACUUGAAAAGUAAGGUGAAUAUGUCUAUCUUGAUCUUCUUUUGCAUAGAUACAUCAAAGUUAGAAAUUAAAUCUCAACCGAUUGGCUCGGAAAAAAAAAGGUUGAAAUGGUAUUUGAAAAACCUAGUUGAUUUACAGUAUAAGAUGAGCAAAGGGAGAAAACUGCAAACUAGAUAAACAAAGAUUAAGAUGGACUAAGGGAGAUAACUUUUUAAGAAAUUAUGUCAUCCACUUGUUUUUUUUUUCAUUUGACCUUGUUUUACAACUGUAUUUACAUAAGAACAAAAUAUUAAGAAAAAAUCCAUAUCCAGGAACUGUCACAAGUGUUAAUUUCAUGAUUUUUUUCUGGAAAACGAGGAAUUUGAAAAAAAAAUUGGUGACAAUAAAAUGCUUUGUCAUUGAAUCAAUUGAAUUUGAAUAUAUAUAUUUGGGGAAAACUAGUGCAAAGUAAUAUUUAAAUAGAUUUUCUGCCAACACAUGCAAUGCAUGGAUAUAGAAUACUGAUACAUUGAUAAUAUUAUAUAAUUUAUGAAAAAGAUAUGCUAAUUCAGUUGUCAACAUCUGUUAUUUACAUAUGAUAUUUAUGAUAUUGAUGAAGAGAAUAUGAAUUAUUAGAAAUUUAUGUAAAAAAUAUAAAAAAAAAAUUUUUAUCUGAUGGCAAAUGUCACAUUUUAUUAUUAACUACUUUUUCAACUUAAAAGUACUUGACAGGAUCUAAUUAAAUUUUGUUAUUCUGCAUUGUCUACAGAUUUUAAACAAAUGGGGAAAUAUUGUCCUUUGUGGGGGGUCUGUAAAGGGAACUCUUGUUAACUCUCACUAAUAAUUCAUCUGUGAAAUUGUCAAUUAGGAUAAGAAUAUGCCUCAACUGGCAUUAAACCCUCAAAACUAUUCAUAUAUUCAUUUGAUUUUUGUUUGCUCUAUGUACAGUGGAAACCAUUUGACUAGAGAAAACAGAUCUAAUUAUCUUAUUGAAUGCCCAUGUUCUUAUAAAUACUUCUCCUUGGCUUGCGAUAAAAAGGAUAUAACUUUAAAACUGCCACUAUCCUUACUUCUAAGUGUAGAUUUUUGAAAUUCCGUUUACCCAACUUUAACUCCCCUUUUCCAUAAAGAGCACUGGCCGAAAGGUUUGUAUAAUUCUGCAUACUGUAUGAAUCUUGUCGAACUGUUAAAUUGAUUUUUUAUAGGAAAAUAAACAGAUAUGUAUUUAUUUAAUGGAAUGAAAUUUACUUGCAUAAGAAAUUGACGUUUUAUAUGUUGAAAAUGGCAAAUAUUUAUUACAUUUAAUAUCUAGUUAUUGUGGCAUAGUCAGAAUUCGCAUUUAUACAUGUAUAUUUGAGUUGGCUUUAAAUGAAUGAAAUCCUGUUUGACUUCUACAAUUAUGUACAUAUUUUUGUGAAAACCAUUACAUUUUACAUAUCAUUUAUCUACUUUAUUAUAUUCAGAAACUAUGUGUUUACUGUACUAUUGAAUACUAAAUGUAAUAUGUUAACACUUGAGUGCUUUAUUUUAUAGUAUUCAUAAGUAAACAGUUUGAAAAUGUUUCUGAAAAUUUCAUUUUUCAUUCUCUGAUGAUCAGACUGGAAUGAUUUACUUAAAACACAAGUAUCAUACAUACAUAUAUCUCAUUUUUGUAUGUGCAAUGAGUUUAUAAAUAACAAUUUUGGCGGAGAAAUGACAUUUAUGUAGAGUUCUCUCUGUUUAUGCUCUUUCUGAAAAUUUAAAAACACUUAAAAAAUUUUGGGAAAAAAAUUGUGUUUUUUUUUAUUCUUUGUCAGUUAUUAUGACUGAUUUUACACUUCUUGUCAAAAAACAUAUUUAAAUCCUCAGUGAUAAGAUUAUCUUCAAUCUACAAGCAUGUAGUAAUGACAUUUUUAUCUACAAGGAAAUUUAUGUAUUUGCAUAAUAUAUAAAAUGAAACAAUGUUUCCAUAUGAUAGAAAAUAACUUAAAUAAUUAAUAUUCUUAAAUCUUUCCAGUCUGAUGUGUUCUCUUUUGACUUUAUAUAUUUGUAUUUACAUGUUUUGAUAAAUCCAUAUCCUAUCAACAAUAUUGUUAAAAUAAAAA